AUUGAACGCUGGCGGCAUGCUUUACACAUGCAAGUCGAACGGCAGCACAGGGAGCUUGCUCCCGGGUGGCGAGUGGCGCACGGGUGAGUAAUACAUCGGAACGUGUCCUGUUGUGGGGGGAUAACUGCUCGAAAGGGUGGCUAAUACCGCAUGAGACCUGAGGGUGAAAGCGGGGGAUCGCAAGACCUCGCGCAAUUGGAGCGGCCGAUGCCCGAUUAGCUAGUUGGUGAGGUAAAGGCUCACCAAGGCGACGAUCGGUAGCUGGUCUGAGAGGACGACCAGCCACACUGGGACUGAGACACGGCCCAGACUCCUACGGGAGGCAGCAGUGGGGAAUUUUGGACAAUGGGGGCAACCCUGAUCCAGCCAUGCCGCGUGCAGGAUGAAGGCCUUCGGGUUGUAAACUGCUUUUGUCAGGGACGAAAAGGAUCGUGAUAAUACCAUGGUCUGCUGACGGUACCUGAAGAAUAAGCACCGGCUAACUACGUG
Molecule: ribosomal RNA, 489 nt
Filed under: uncultured bacterium
Lineage: Bacteria
Description: bacterial SSU rRNA
Rfam family: Bacterial small subunit ribosomal RNA
Source: RNAcentral